UGGUGGAGCGAUUUGUCUGGUUAAUUCCGAUAACGAACGAGACUCUGGCCUAUUAAAUAGUUCGCCGAUUCCGAUCUGCGGCGUUAACUUCUUAGAGGGACAAGUGGCUUUUAGCCACGCGAGAUUGAGCAAUAACA
This 137-nucleotide ribosomal RNA is filed under the name uncultured eukaryote. RNAcentral's name for it is "partial 18S ribosomal RNA". It matches the Rfam family "Eukaryotic small subunit ribosomal RNA", at positions 1299 to 1458 of the family's 1831-position model. The record is from RNAcentral.